GACGAACGCUGGCGGCGUGCUUAACACAUGCAAGUCGAGCGGAAAGGCCCUUCGGGGUACUCGAGCGGCGAACGGGUGAGUAACACGUGAGUAACCUGCCCCAGACUUUGGGAUAACCCUCGGAAACGGGGGCUAAUACCGGAUACGACACAGCUUCGCAUGGGGUCUGUGUGGAAAGUUUUUCGGUUUGGGAUGGGCUCGCGGCCUAUCAGCUUGUUGGUGGGGUGAUGGCCUACCAAGGCGACGACGGGUAGCCGGCCUGAGAGGGCGACCGGCCACACUGGGACUGAGACACGGCCCAGACGCCUACGGGAGGCAGCAGUGGGGAAUAUUGCACAAUGGGCGGAAGCCUGAUGCAGCGACGCCGCGUGAGGGAUGACGGCCUUCGGGUUGUAAACCUCUUUCAGCAGGGACGAAGCGUAAGUGACGGUACCUGCAGAAGAAGCGCCGGCCAACUACGUG
RNAcentral lists this ribosomal RNA (462 nucleotides) under uncultured bacterium. Its description in RNAcentral is "partial 16S ribosomal RNA". It matches the Rfam family "Bacterial small subunit ribosomal RNA", at positions 28 to 507 of the family's 1533-position model. The record is from RNAcentral.